GCGCUUGCUUCGGCUGCACAUAUACUAAAAUUGGAACGAUACAGAGAUUAGCAUGGCCCCUGUGCAAGGAUGACAUGCAAAUUCAUGAAGCUUCCAUAUUUUUU
RNAcentral lists this small nuclear RNA (104 nucleotides) under Choloepus hoffmanni (Hoffmann's two-fingered sloth). Lineage: Eukaryota; Metazoa; Chordata; Mammalia; Pilosa; Megalonychidae. The record is from RNAcentral.